AUCAUGCAUAACAUCAAGGGCUAGUGUAUAUCCACAAAUCUCAUGGUUAAACCUCGCAGCUCUGCAUUGCAAUUUAAUGGGGAGCUCUCUGCCUGCCUGUGUUCUGUGUCCUAUGAAGUUGUGCACUGCAGUCGAGGGAAUCCUUCAUUGCUUCAUGAAACUCUGUUCUCCCUGUUCCAGAGGCAGAGGAUUCAGGCGACAGUGAUGCUGAACUGGACAGUGAUGGACUCAAAUGAGAGCGGGAGUUGGGAGACAAUAUGAUGGAGAAAAGAGCGGACAUGGAUUCUGAAGUGGUCCUGACACAGUCCAUGGUAGUGAAGAAGGAUGCCCUGUCCAAAUGAUACUACAGAACUUUCUGUUAUUAUAGCAUCUGUGCUCAUGUAAGGUACAGAUGCUACUAUGCUCAUCACUAUCACUACUAUUUCUACUACCAUCAUGGGUACCACUGCCAUCGCUUCUGGCGUACCUACCGCUGCAGACGAUGCCAGCACUACUGAGAAGCAGCAGCGCCCAGGGAUCACAGUGCUGGAGUUUACCUGUCAGCAGACCUGCAAGCAAAGCUUAAACAUACCAGCAACCUGCUUUUGUAGCAUCGCUGCACCCUUUCUGUUCUGGUCCCUCUCCCCACACUCAGCUACAGCACCUGUACUCAUUUCUAUCAGGACAUUCACAGUUUGAUUCAAACAGCUGCUCCCUGCUGUGCAUUUGGUCAAUCUCUUCAAGGAUAUAUAAUAGAGACAACAUUAUUUUUCUAUUGGCUGAUACCCUACCUCUUAUGAAGCAGGACUUUACAUUGUAUGGAAAGUUGUCCUUGUUUAACAUGUAGUGUCUGAUUCUAAGUGAGAUCACAUGCUCUCACGUGUUUGAAUAGAAACACAGCUGCACAUGGGAACAUAAAGAAACCAUUCCUCAGAGAGCGUGCUUGAUUGAUCUGCCCCAGCUCAUAAUCACUCCACCCAGUCAGGUUUGACCAGUACACUCCCUUCUUCUCCCAGUUCCACCCUGUGAUGUCAAAAGUGUAGUGACAGGCGUUGUUCACACUGACAAAAACAUUGUGUUUAUAUAGAGAUUUUCUUCAUCUUUCAAUUAUUAUCAAAUCUCUUUAUUUGCAUUCAUGACAACAAAUGCUCAAACUGCUGACCAGUAUAAACAAAAACAACAACACUGUCUGCUGUUACAUGAAACUGGGAAGAAGCCUCUCUCUUUCUGCAAAGCUUUUUCAGCAAUAAAGCUAUUAGCAUCAA
Molecule: long non-coding RNA, 1244 nt
Organism: Polyodon spathula (Mississippi paddlefish)
Lineage: Eukaryota; Metazoa; Chordata; Actinopteri; Acipenseriformes; Polyodontidae
Exons: 8
Source: RefSeq, a predicted model, not a curated record